GACGAACGCUGGCGGCGUGCUUAACACAUGCAGGUCGAACGGAAAGGCCCUGCUUUUGUGGGGUGCUCGAGUGGCGAACGGGUGAGUAACACGUGAGUAACCUGCCCUUGACUUUGGGAUAACUUCAGGAAACUGGGGCUAAUACCGGAUAGGAGCUCCUGCUGCAUGGUGGGGGUUGGAAAGUUUCGGCGGUUGGGGAUGGACUCGCGGCUUAUCAGCUUGUUGGUGGGGUAGUGGCUUACCAAGGCUUUGACGGGUAGCCGGCCUGAGAGGGUGACCGGCCACAUUGGGACUGAGAUACGGCCCAGACUCCUACGGGAGGCAGCAGUGGGGAAUAUUGCACAAUGGGCGGAAGCCUGAUGCAGCAACGCCGCGUGCGGGAUGACGGCCUUCGGGUUGUAAACCGCUUUCGCCUGUGACGAAGCGUGAGUGACGGGAAUGGGUAAAGAAGCACCGGCUAACUACGU
This 467-nucleotide ribosomal RNA is filed under the name uncultured bacterium. RNAcentral describes it as "partial 16S ribosomal RNA". It matches the Rfam family "Bacterial small subunit ribosomal RNA", at positions 28 to 506 of the family's 1533-position model. The record is from RNAcentral.